This 111-nucleotide ribosomal RNA is filed under the name SAR324 cluster bacterium. The record is from RNAcentral. Lineage: Bacteria; Deltaproteobacteria.
CUUGGUGAUUAUGGCGAAGGUGUCACACCCGUUCCCAUUCCGAACACGGUCGUUAAGCCCUUCAGCGUCGAUGAUACUGGGAGUUCCCGGGAAAGUAGAUCGUUGCCAGGA